AACGAACGCUGGCGGCGUGCCUAACACACGCAAGUUGAACGGGGUUAUAUGGAGAAGCUGGUUUCGGCUGGUGGAUUUGUAUAACUUAGUGGCGGACGGGUGAGUAACACGUAGGUAACCAACCCUCAAGCGGGGGACAACCCAGGGAAACUUGGGCUAAUACCGCAUAAGACCACAGGCUGGGAGGCCAGUGGCAAAAGGAGCAAUUCACUUGAGACGGGCCUGCGGCCUAUCAGGUAGUUGGCGGGGUAAGAGGCCCACCAAGCCAAAGACGGGUAGCCGGACUGAGAGGUUGGACGGCCACACUGGAACUGAGACACGGGUCCAGACUCCUACGGGAGGCAGCAGUGGGGAAUUUUGCGCAAUGGGGGAAACCCUGACGCAGCGACGCCGCGUGGAGGAUGAAGGUCUUCGGAUUGUAAACUCCUUUUGUAGGGGAAAAUAAUGAUGGUACCCUAUGAAUAAGCCACGGCUAACUCUGUG
This 483-nucleotide ribosomal RNA is filed under the name uncultured bacterium. Its description in RNAcentral is "bacterial SSU rRNA". It matches the Rfam family "Bacterial small subunit ribosomal RNA", at positions 29 to 507 of the family's 1533-position model. The record is from RNAcentral.